UACGUAGGGGCCGAGCGUUGUCCGGAGUUAUUGGGCGUAAAGCGCGCGCAGGCGGCCUCGCGCGCCCGACGUGAAAGCCCCCGGCUUAACCGGGGAGGGUCGUUGGGGACGGCGGGGCUUGAGGGCGGGAGAGGGCGGUGGAAUUCCCGGUGUAGUGGUGAAAUGCGUAGAGAUCGGGAGGAACACCUGUGGCGAAGGCGGCCGUCUGGGCCGACCCUGACGCGUGAGCGCGAAGGCGUGGGAGCGACGGG
Molecule: ribosomal RNA, 251 nt
Filed under: uncultured bacterium
Lineage: Bacteria
Description: partial 16S ribosomal RNA
Rfam family: Bacterial small subunit ribosomal RNA
Source: RNAcentral